CUCCCAUUUUGGAGAUUAGUUCUUCUCUCGUUAAUUCUACCCUGCAAAAUGUGCAAGCUAAAACUGCCUCACAAACCUUCUUCAUCAUUAAUCCUCAGAUGAAUUUCAGCAUUUGAAAAUGCAAUGUCUUUAUCAUCAGCCUUUCUUAGUCUGUCACUUGGAGGAUGUUCUAUCCUGUCCUACUGUCCAUAAGACCAAGCAGCUCGGAGGACUCCCAUGAAUCAGUGAAAAGCACCUUGCACCAUUCUGGGCAAGCAGUGGGACUCAGCUUCUGUGGAUUUUGAAUUGUUGCAUGAAAUCAGUCAGUAUUUCGGAGCAUCGGUGAUCAGAGGUGUCUCCUACAUAUUUGUUUGUAUUCCUAUAAGCAUCCAACACAAUGGCCAGUAGGUAGUUAAUGCUGAUUAAAUGUUUACUGAGAGAAGAGACGAAUGCAGGUAUUUAUGUAUAUUUGGGUUUGGGUCAUUGUUUUCUUCUCUUUUUUUCCUUUCUACACAUAGGAUAAAGAGUCUGUAAUACACGACUAGAAUAAUUUGAUACUUAAAAAAACAAUGGUUGAAAACAAUGACACAUUAAACUAUCUACUGUGCAAACCUUCACCACCAAAGCCACCUCUGGCCACAGUGCAGGACUGUUAGAAGUUGAGGGGACCUUUAAUUUCUGCCAGAAGCCCCAAGUGGUUGACAAUUAUAUCAUUUCUCUAUCUCUUAAUCUUAACUGAUUUGCCUGUUUGUGGACAAAAGAAAAACAAGCCAUGUUACAGUUUGUUCAGAAACCAAGAAGAUGGAAGCCUUUUAAUUCUGUCUUCAUUGGUGAAGCUAUUUACUUUGCUGUGUUUUGUGCUUUGAAAAAGUUUGAAUAAAGAUACAAAAUACAGAGCAGAGAGGCAGAAUGAUAUUGCAAAUAAGAGCUGGAAAACUUAGGCUCGAAGGUGGCUCUGCUGUGUGACCUUGGAUGAAUUAAUUAACUUAUCUGUGUCCCAAGUUCCUCGUUUGAAAACAGGGGUGUAAUAAUAGUGCCUAACUGCAAGAUGUUGUGAUGAUUGAAGGAAUUUAGAUAAAGUGUUUAGACAGUGCUUGGUACAUAAUAAAUGUAUAUAAGUAUCAGCCAUUUUGGUAUAUGACUUUACAGAAAGCAUAGAUGCUGAACAGAAUAAUCCACUUACUGAGAACCACAACAAUUUCAGGAAUAUGAGCAUAUCAUUCCAAAAAAUAUAAUAGGAGAGAUACAUUCCAACAAAACAGGUAAAAGAAAGAAAACACUUUACAAAUAUGUAGUUAUUGAAUUCAGUAUUCUAAAACCAGAGAUAUUGGUGGUAUGUCGAAUAGGAGAAAAAAGGGUCCAGGAAGAGUUGGAAUAAACAGGGAGUCAGAAAAGUGAUUUUCAACCUUUGUCCAUGUUACAAUCAUUUGGGGGAGCCUGUUAGCUCAUACCGGGGACUCUGUAUUUUUGAGAGAUGCCCUAGGUGAUUCUGAUGCAAAAUGAAGAUAGAAAAGAG
Molecule: long non-coding RNA, 1495 nt
Filed under: Homo sapiens (human)
Lineage: Eukaryota; Metazoa; Chordata; Mammalia; Primates; Hominidae
Description: HSALNT0199586
Source: RNAcentral